GCGCACGGGUGAGUAGCGCGUGGGAACCUGCCCGCUUGUGGGGGAUAACCGGGGGAAACUCCGGCUAAUACCGCAUACGCCCCGGCGAAAGCCGGGGGAAAGAUUGAUCGCAGGCGGAGGGGCCCGCGUCGGAUUAGGUAGUUGGUGGGGUAACGGCCCACCAAGCCGAUGAUCCGUAGCUGGUCUGAGAGGAUGAUCAGCCACACUGGGACUGAGACACGGCCCAGACUCCUACGGGAGGCAGCAGUGGGGAAUAUUGGACAAUGGGGGCAACCCUGAUCCAGCAAUGCCGCGUGAGUGAUGAAGGCCUUAGGGUUGUAAAGCUCUUUCGGCGGGGACGGUGAUGACGGUACCCGCAGAAGAAGCCCCGGCUAACUUCGUGCCAGCAGCCGCGGUAAUACGAAGGGGGCGAGCGUUGUUCGGAAUCACUGGGCGUAAAGGGCGCGUAGGCGGUCGUGCAAGUCGGGCGUGAAAGCCCCGGGCUCAACCUGGGAACGGCGCUCGAUACUGCAUGGCUUGAGUUCGGGAGAGGAGAGUGGAAUUCCCAGUGUAGAGGUGAAAUUCGUAGAUAUUGGGAAGAACACCGGUGGCGAAGGCGGCUCUCUGGCCCCGAGACUGACGCUGAGGCGCGAAAGCGUGGGGAGCAAACAGGAUUACAUACCCUGGUAGUCCCACGCCGUAAACGAUGUGUGCUAGACGUUGGGGAGCCUACCUCCCUCGGUGUCCCACUAACGUUUUAAGCA
Molecule: ribosomal RNA, 743 nt
Filed under: uncultured bacterium
Lineage: Bacteria
Description: bacterial SSU rRNA
Rfam family: Bacterial small subunit ribosomal RNA
Source: RNAcentral